CUAAGAAUAUUGGGCAAUGGAGGAAACUCUGACCCAGCCAUGCCGCGUGAAUGAAGAAGGCCUUCGGGUUGUAAAGUUCUUUUAGUCGUGAAGAUGAUGACAGUAGCGACAGAAAAAGCACCGGCUAACUUCGUGCCAGCAGCCGCGGUAAUACGAAGGGUGCAAGCGUUGUUCGGAUUUACUGGGCGUAAAGCGUCCGUAGGUGGUUUGUUAAGUCAGGGGUGAAAUCCCGGGGCCCAACCCCGGAACUGCCUUUGAUACUGGCAAGCUGGAGCGUGAUAGAGGAAGAUGGAACAUCUGGUGUAGGGGUGAAAUCCGUAGAUAUCAGAUAGAACACCAAUGGCGAAGGCAGUCUUCUGGAUCAUCGCUGACACUGAGGGACGAAAGCGUGGGUAGCAAACAGA
RNAcentral lists this ribosomal RNA (404 nucleotides) under uncultured bacterium. RNAcentral describes it as "bacterial SSU rRNA". It matches the Rfam family "Bacterial small subunit ribosomal RNA", at positions 355 to 776 of the family's 1533-position model. The record is from RNAcentral.